UCGAGAAUCUUCGGCAAUGGGCGCAAGCCUGACCGAGCGACGCCGCGUGUGGGAUGAAGGCCUUCGGGUUGUAAACCACUGUCAGAGGGGAUGAAAUGCAGGUGGGUUCUCCCAUCUGUUUGACAUAGCCUCAGAGGAAGGACGGGCUAAGUUCGUGCCAGCAGCCGCGGUAAGACGAACCGUCCAAACGUUAUUCGGAAUUACUGGGCUUAAAGGGUGCGUAGGCGGCGCGGAAAGUUGGGUGUGAAAUCCCUCGGCUCAACCGAGGAACUGCGCCCAAUACUACCGUGCUUGAGGGAGAUAGAGGUGAGCGGAACUUAGGGUGGAGCGGUGAAAUGCGUUGAUAUCCUAAGGAACACCGGUGGCGAAAGCGGCUCACUGGAUCUCUUCUGACGCUGAGGCACGAAAGCUAGGGUAGCGAACG
Molecule: ribosomal RNA, 424 nt
Filed under: uncultured bacterium
Lineage: Bacteria
Description: bacterial SSU rRNA
Rfam family: Bacterial small subunit ribosomal RNA
Source: RNAcentral